Non-coding RNA from Pelobates cultripes (western spadefoot toad), 816 nucleotides. The record is from the annotation of a GenBank genome assembly. NCBI's taxonomy places the organism in Eukaryota, Metazoa, Chordata, Amphibia, Anura, Pelobatidae.
CCUCGCCCACACAUAGAUCCCCACAUGUCUGCGCCACACGGGUCUAUGCACCAACACAGCACUCAUACACUUGCCAAACUAGACCCAUGAAGGUGUACCAUGCACCAGUGUUACCAGAGACACCACCAUACACCACUCCCUAUACAGCUGCAGCAUAGCGCAAUACACCCGCUCAUAACGCAAUCAAAUACGAGUAAUGGUCAUCCAAGCAAUGGCUCCGAUCUUUCCCACCCCCCACUAUCCACAAUAGCGCUGAAAUAACUAGAGACACAACUUCUUAGGGGGGGUUACCCCCUGGAUCACUUAGGCCAAAGCGAGACACACUGUCAUCGGAGGUAUCUGCUAACGUGCCCGAGGGGCUAACUUUACUGUCUUAUACCUGCUGAUUCACGCUUACAACACACAAAAAAUCACCCUGCAUGUUAAUGUACAAAUGCAAAUAAAUAUGUAUGUAAAAAUGUAUGCAAACCUCGAGGGCAAUGGCUCAUAAACUAUAUGUUUGAAUCCAUGCUGAGUGACAAAAAAUAAAGAAUUAUAAAAAAAGGCUUCUGCAAGAUGUACAUAAAGUGGACUGUGCAUAUAACUUGGGAGAGUUGGAUAGAUUAAUAUGGGGAACUUCUUGCUUUAAAAAAAAUCUGGAUUUGUAGUGGUUGUGGCGGAACCAACCUCACCACUAUGCACUGGAGAAGCCUGGUUGCUCGCCUGCUGCCUUUAGACUAUGGCCCCUGGGAGAUUGUGAAAACUUAUGGACUUUUAUUGGGUGUGUAUGGCCCUUUAAGACAGUCGUGGGCAUAUUGGGGCUUAUGUACGUUUUAU